RNAcentral lists this ribosomal RNA (253 nucleotides) under uncultured bacterium. Its description in RNAcentral is "partial 16S ribosomal RNA". It matches the Rfam family "Bacterial small subunit ribosomal RNA", at positions 524 to 776 of the family's 1533-position model. The record is from RNAcentral.
UACGAAGGGAGCUAGCGUUGUUCGGAAUCACUGGGCGUAAAGCGCACGUAGGCGGAUGUGUCAGUCAGGGGUGAAAUCCCGGAGCUCAACUUCGGAACUGCCUUUGAUACAGCACGUCUUGAGUCCGAUAGAGGUGGGUGGAAUUCCUAGUGUAGAGGUGAAAUUCGUAGAUAUUAGGAAGAACACCGGUGGCGAAGGCGACUUCCUGGCCUGUUCUUGACGCUGAGGCGCGAAAGCUAGGGGAGCAAACGGG